GACGAACGCUGGCGGCGUGCUUAACACAUGCAAGUCGAACGGAAAGGCCCUGCUUUUGUGGGGUGCUCGAGUGGCGAACGGGUGAGUAACACGUGAGUAACCUGCCCUUGACUUUGGGAUAACUUCAGGAAACUGGGGCUAAUACCGGAUAGGAGCUCCUGCUGCAUGGUGGGGGUUGGAAAGUUUCGGCGGUUGGGGAUGGACUCGCGGCUUAUCAGCUUGUUGGUGGGGUAGUGGCUUACCAAGGCUUUGACGGGUAGCCGGCCUGAGAGGGUGACCGGGCAAAAUGGGAAUGAGGAACGGGCCAGGACCCAACGGGGAGGAAGAGGGGGGAAAUUUGGCAAAAGGGGGGGAGGCGGGAGGCGGAACCGCCGGGUGGGGGAGACGGGCCUUGGGUUGUAAACCCGGUUCCGCCUGGGACGAGGGGGGGGGGAGGGAAAGGGAUAAAAAAGCACCGGCAACCUCCGGC
This 469-nucleotide ribosomal RNA is filed under the name uncultured bacterium. Its description in RNAcentral is "partial 16S ribosomal RNA". It matches the Rfam family "Bacterial small subunit ribosomal RNA", at positions 28 to 508 of the family's 1533-position model. The record is from RNAcentral.